GGAGGAGAAGGGAGAUGAGGCUGCUUAUAUAGUGCUCUAUCCCUGGCGGUUUGUGCUUGAGACUUGGAGGCAAAGACUCCUAUUUUGGGGCUGCCAGCUCUACCUCUUUUGAGCUUGAAUAGGUCGCCACAUUUGGAGCAUGGUGAGGGUGGAAUCGAGAAGGAUGGGGAGAGAAGAGAAGAUCCUGAAUUGCAGCUCCUUUGAUCAAAGCAACUUAGUUUUUAUCUUGAGUUUAGCUACUACAAUUUCCGUAGAGUAGACCAUUAUUUUUUCCACUUUGAGAAGGGUCUCCCAUGUGCUUGAAUCCAAUUUGUUGUACUUUAGUAUACACAUGUGCAUUUCCUCACUUUUCUAAUAAAAGUAUUUUCUC
Non-coding RNA from Salvia hispanica, 370 nucleotides. The record is from RefSeq and is a predicted model, not a curated record. Lineage: Eukaryota; Viridiplantae; Streptophyta; Magnoliopsida; Lamiales; Lamiaceae.